RNAcentral lists this ribosomal RNA (161 nucleotides) under uncultured bacterium. RNAcentral's name for it is "partial 16S ribosomal RNA". It matches the Rfam family "Bacterial small subunit ribosomal RNA", at positions 356 to 509 of the family's 1533-position model. The record is from RNAcentral.
UGGGAAUUUUGGACAAUGGGCGCAAGCCUGAUCCAGCUAUUCCGCGUGUGGGAUGAAGGCCCUCGGGUUGUAAACCACUUUUGUAGAGAACGAAAAGACACCUUCGAAUAAAGGGUGUUGCUGACGGUACUCUAAGAAUAAGCACCGGCUAACUACGUGCC